This 563-nucleotide long non-coding RNA is filed under the name Olea europaea (common olive). RNAcentral describes it as "long non-coding RNA (OEUR_LNC011648)". The record is from RNAcentral. Lineage: Eukaryota; Viridiplantae; Streptophyta; Magnoliopsida; Lamiales; Oleaceae.
UUAAUUUUGAGUUCAAAACAACAUAAAAUAAAAAUUAUUUACAAGAUUAGUUAAAGCCCGACUAUUGAAGAAAUUUUGUCUUUAUGCCGAUGAAGUAUACUUCUUCUCGCGAAAGAUAUGACCUGCAUAUAAAUAAGAAAGAAAAACUCACCAUAAAUUUCUUAAAAUUUAAAUUCUAGCAAGAAAAGUUAAAUUGAAAUGCAUCAAAUUGAAGUUCACAAGAAUUUCUAAUUGCUUGACAAGUUCACCUGAUUUUUUUAUUUUUUUUUAAAUCAAGCAAGUGAACCAAAAACAAAUUCAUAAAUGUCAUAAUAAGAAAGCUUCUCUCUUGUAACUAAGAAAACAUCAAAACACAAAUCCUCAUUUUAGUAGCAACAAAAUUUGCCGAAAGCUAAGUGGAGGGUUGAAAGGAAAACUGUGUCUAAGAUGCAUGGGUUUUAGGAAUUGACCUUUCACAUUAGAUUUGAAGAGUGCUUUCCCAACAGCUUGAAACCAAGGCAAAAAAUAUAGUCUUUGCUUACAUCAGCUUUUCUCUCCAUCCAACCUCCCAAAUAUUGCAGUCC